GGAUCGUUGGUGUAGCUGGUUAACACGUCUCCCUGUCACGGAGAAGAUCAGGGGUUCGAAUCCCCUACGAUCCGCCA
Molecule: transfer RNA, 77 nt
Filed under: Candidatus Uhrbacteria bacterium
Lineage: Bacteria; Candidatus Uhriibacteriota
Description: tRNA-Asp
Rfam family: tRNA
About the family: Transfer RNA (tRNA) molecules are approximately 80 nucleotides in length. Their secondary structure includes four short double-helical elements and three loops (D, anti-codon, and T loops).
Source: RNAcentral